Molecule: ribosomal RNA, 668 nt
Filed under: uncultured Bacteroidota bacterium
Lineage: Bacteria; Pseudomonadati; Bacteroidota
Description: bacterial SSU rRNA
Rfam family: Bacterial small subunit ribosomal RNA
Source: RNAcentral
AACCCGGACAAAUUCGGACUAAUAUUCCAUAAUGAUAUUGAGAGGCAUCUUUUAAUAUUUAAAGUUCCGACGGUACGGGCUGGGCAUGCGUAACAUUAGCUAGUUGGCAGGGUAACGGCCUACCAAGGCAACGAUGUUUAGGGGUCCUGAGAGGGUGAUCCCCCACACUGGUACUGAGACACGGACCAGACUCCUACGGGAGGCAGCAGUGAGGAAUAUUGGUCAAUGGGCGCAAGCCUGAACCAGCCAUCCCGCGUGAAGGAAGAAGGCGCUAUGCGUUGUAAACUUCUUUUCCAGGGGAAUAAAAUUUUGUACGUGUACGGAAUUGAAGGUACCCUGGGAAUAAGCAUCGGCUAACUCCGUGCCAGCAGCCGCGGUAAUACGGAGGAUGCAAGCGUUAUCCGGAUUUAUUGGGUUUAAAGGGUGCGCAGGCGGAAAGAUAAGUCAGUGGUGAAAUCCUGCAGCUUAACUGUAGAAUUGCCGUUGAUACUGUUUUUCUUGAGUGUGGUCAAGGAAGGCGGAAUGUGUAAUGUAGCGGUGAAAUGCUUAGAUAUUACACAGAACACCAAUUGCGAAGGCAGCUUUCUGGGCCGUAACUGACGCUCAUGCACGAAAGCGUGGGGAUCGAACAGGAUUAGAUACCCUGGUAGUCCACGCCGUAAACGAUG